Molecule: ribosomal RNA, 239 nt
Filed under: uncultured bacterium
Lineage: Bacteria
Description: partial 16S ribosomal RNA
Rfam family: Bacterial small subunit ribosomal RNA
Source: RNAcentral
CCGGCAAACGGGUGCGGAACACGUACGCAACCUUCCUUUAAUUGGAGAAUAGCCCCUCGAAAGAGGGAUUAAUACUCCGUAACAUAAUGAUAAGGCAUCUUAUUAUUAUUAUAGCUCCGGCGGUUAAAGAUGGGCGUGCGACUGAUUAGAUAGUUGGCGGGGUAACGGCCCACCAAGUCUGCGAUCAGUAACUGGUGUGAGAGCACGACCAGUCACACGGGCACUGAGACACGGGCCCG